Molecule: ribosomal RNA, 502 nt
Filed under: bacterium
Lineage: Bacteria
Description: bacterial SSU rRNA
Rfam family: Bacterial small subunit ribosomal RNA
Source: RNAcentral
UGAUACAGGCAAGCUUGAGUCUCGUAGAGGGGGGUAGAAUUCCAGGUGUAGCGGUGAAAUGCGUAGAGAUCUGGAGGAAUACCGGUGGCGAAGGCGGCCCCCUGGACGAAGACUGACGCUCAGGUGCGAAAGCGUGGGGAGCAAACAGGAUUAGAUACCCUGGUAGUCCACGCCGUAAACGAUGUCGACUUGGAGGUUGAGCCCUUGAGGCGUGGCUUCCGGAGCUAACGCGUUAAGUCGACCGCCUGGGGAGUACGGCCGCAAGGUUAAAACUCAAAUGAAUUGACGGGGGCCCGCACAAGCGGUGGAGCAUGUGGUUUAAUUCGAUGCAACGCGAAGAACCUUACCUGGUCUUGACAUCCACAGAACUUUUCAGAGAUGGAAAGGUGCCUUCGGGAACCGUGAGACAGGUGCUGCAUGGCUGUCGUCAGCUCGUGUUGUGAAAUGUUGGGUUAAGUCCCGCAACGAGCGCAUCCCUUAUCCUUUGUUGUCAGCGGUCCGG